This 42467-nucleotide long non-coding RNA is filed under the name Populus trichocarpa (black cottonwood). RNAcentral describes it as "long non-coding RNA (PTRI_LNC002966)". Lineage: Eukaryota; Viridiplantae; Streptophyta; Magnoliopsida; Malpighiales; Salicaceae. The record is from RNAcentral.
AAGCAGCUAAUCUAAGAGAAUUAAAAAACUUAAAUCACAUUGGAGGGAGCUUUAGUAUACGGAAUCUAGGAGGAGGUAUAGAAGAUGCGAGUGACGCUGCAGAAGCACAACUCAAGAAUAAGAAGCGCCUGCUUCGUUUGGAAUUGGGUUUCGACUACAACCAGGAGAACGGCAUUUUAAUUGAAGCUUUACAGCCUCCGUCAGACUUGGAAUGUCUGACCAUAUCUAGUUACGGAGGGUUGGAUUUGCCACAUUGGAUGAUGACAUUAACCAGAUUACAGGAGCUUAGACUUGAUGAUUGUACAAACCUGGAGGUCUUGCGUCCGUUGGGAGGAUUGCCCAACCUUGAAAUCCUGGUACUGAGCUCGUUGAAGGUGAGAAGGCUGGAUGCUGGAUUUUUAGGUAUAGAAAAGGAUGAGAAUGCCAGUAUUAAUGAAGGAGAAAUUGCAAGGGUCACUGCUUUCCCCAAAUUAAAAAGACUUGAUUUUAGGCAUCUCUUAGAAGUAGAAGAGUGGGAAGGAAUUGAAAGGAGAGUGGGAGAAGAAGAUGUCAACACAACUUCAAUAAUAUCCAUUAUGCCACAACUUCAAUAUUUGAGAAUUAUCAAUUGCCCGUUGCUGAGAGCACUACCAGACUAUGUUUUGGCAGCGCCUCUACAGGAAUUAGACAUAAGGUGGUGCACCAUUCUAAGGAAACGUUACGGGAAGGAGGAGAUGGGUGAAGAUUGGCAAAAGAUUUCUCACAUCCCAAACAGUUAUUUUUAUGAUUAGGUGAGAAAGGCAGAACUCUUUAGAACCUGCUUUGAGUGUAUUAAUUAUUUGCUUUGGUGUUUGCUAAGGUUGAGUGUAAAUAAUAUGUAAGCCUUACCAUUUACUCUAUGUGACUGUUUCAGUGGAUUAAAUCCAAGAAAUUCUUAAACCUCAGUUUCAGUGGAUUUCAUUCAAUGUGACUUUACUGUAAUUCGAUUUUAUUUCCUACUUACCAUUUACUCUCUCAUCCUCUCCCUCUCCCUCUCUCUCUCUCUCUCUCUCUACUGUAAUUGGUUUUAUUUCCUACUUACCAUUUACUCUAUCAAAAGCAGCUGUCAUAUUAUCUCGCUCACGUGAAGCUUAUUCCUUACUUAAAUUCUCCAAAUGCCACUCUAAAAAAAUUGCGUUUGAAAUUUCAACUACUGUAACUCAUAUCUAUAAUUAAUCUAUAUAUUUUAACAUCCUCUCUCUCUCUUUCUCUCUCUCAACAUAAAAUGAUAUGUAAUUCAUAUGUUUCUUUGAGUGUAUUAAUUAUUUAUUAUUGAAUAAAUAAUAAAUAAUUGAAGUAAGGAGAAAGGAAUUAUUUAUUAUUGAAGUAAUAAAUUAUUUAUUACUUCUUCGAGUAAUAUUAAUUAUUUAUUACUUCUUUGUGAUUUACUUCUUUGAGUGUAUUAAUUAUUUAUUAUUGAAGUAAGGAGAAAGGAAUUGAAUUUAGAAUGCUAAAAGUAAGCCAUGGGGGCAGCUGAAGCACAGAGGUGGUAAUUAAGCAAGUAAUCUAGCUAGAUUGCUGCCCUUGGAAGUUAUUAGUGUCACUUCCAAUGCAAGUUCUCUACAAUUUUUAAUCUUUGUAUCGAAGGCUUCAUGCAUGAAAUAAUUUAUUGCUGGAGGAGGAGCAGGGGCCCCUAGCUGCUGUUUAAUAACGAGGCACAUUGCAAUUUUUAAAAAUGUUUUUUUUUUUAUCUAAAGAUAUAUUAAAAUAUCUUCUUAGAUUUUUUUAUUUUUUAUAUUAAUACAUUAAAAUUAUAUAAAAAAAUACUAGAAAAAUAUUAAUUUGACUUUUUAAAGCCAAUAUACACUUUAAAAUACAUUUAAACACAAUUUCAAAUGCAAAAACAAAAAAGUUUAUGAAUCCUAUCAGCCCCAAGGUUGUAUUGUACAUUUAUUAUUGUAAUGUGAGACACGUCUUUCUAAACCAAUAUAUUUGUAAAAUUUAAAAGUUAACUCUUCAUUCAAAUUAUUUAAAUAACCUGAUAUGAGAUAUAUCAUACAUAAUUAUUAGAUUAAUUAAUUCUGAAAAUUUAAUUAAUUAAUUCUGAAAUUAACAAUAAAAAUUAUUUAUGUUAUAUAAUGUAAAUUGUCAAAAAAAAUUUUAACAUCUAAAUCUAUUGAGUUAAUGUAUCUCGUAUAUAAAACUAUAUUUUAACAACAAUUUUGUCCAUGCUUUUCUCAGAGGGAAGAUUGUUAAAGACUUCAACUAAACCAUGAAAAAAAAAUUCACACAAAGCCCUAGCACCAAGUACCAUGGGCCAGCGCUCCCAUGGCCAGGCGAAAAGCUCCCCUGAAGAGCAACAUGUAGAAUUCAGGUAAUAGCUAUCACGCACUUUAAUAAGUUCAAUUAUUAGUAUUUUUAGCUGAAAUAUUGCACAAAAACUGCUAUAGAGAAACCCAUAUUUUGAUUUUGCAAUACUAAAAUGUUGCAUAAAGUUAAAAGUAUGUGUAACUGUGUAAACCAGUGGAACUGUGUAAAGGGGACUUAUGAUUAUGUUUAAAUGAAUUUUUUAAAUAAAUUGCAUGUCUUCACCAACUUUUACCUGCUUUUCUCACUUUAAUUUCUUUUCUUACUUUAAUUUUUUUUCUUUCCAUUCAACUUUCACCCAAAAAAAAAACAUGUAAUUGGAUUCUAAUAUUCAACAAAAAAAAAAUCAACUUAAUUGUUAAAAUAAAAUUUAGAGAUUAAAUUAAAAAUUUUCAAAAAUUUCAUUGCUCCAACCCGCAAUGAGAGAGGGUAAUAAUAAUUUAAUAAACAGUAAAAAAACCCCACGCUUUAGCUUUAUACUUAAUAUUGAAGAUUUAUAUUUUUAAUAAAUUCAACAAAAUAUACUGAAUGUCUAGAAGCUUGGUGGCCAAGUUCAGAUCAUGAGUUUUCGUUUAUUGUCGAGGAUGAUUUGGAGGUUUCGCCGCUGUUUUAUAAAUUUGUGAGGGGUUUGAUUGUUAAUUACCGUUACAAUGUGUCGAAUUUUAGUCCUUUUAUAUAUGAUAUGGUGCUUCACUUCAGCGUCAACGGUUUGUCCCAGGGACUGCUCUUUUUUCAGGUUUUGUACUUGUUAGACUGGAUGUUUUAAUGUUCAAUGUUAAGGUUUCCAGAUUUCUUGAUUUGUUAUAAAAAAUUGAAUUCAUUAUAUUCUUUAAAUAUCCUUGGAUGUUUUUGAGUUAAAAAUCCACUAUUACCAUUAUUGUCGCCACCCCAAUCCUUUUUCUAUCCUAUAAGUAAAUUCUUGAAUUUAAUAAAUUUUAGUGCUUAAUUUAUAAAAUUAUUUUCAAUCAAGUCACACUUGAUUAAUUAUCUUAAUUUAAUUUCUGACUAAUGAUUCUUAAUGUAUAUGACCCAUUGAGUUUCUAAUAUGUUGGCCCCAAAUAUAAGUUAUGUUUUAAUGUUCAAUGUUAAGGUUUCCAGAUUUCUUGAUUUGUUAUAAAAAAUUGAAUUCAUUAUAUUCUUUAAAUAUCCUUGGAUGUUAACGUUUCUAAGGUGUUUUGGGUCAAAAGAACCUUGAGCUCAAUUUUCUAGCCACCACAGUGGUUGAAAUUUGAGCAAAAUAGACGACGCGUUGUUUAUUUUGACAGACAACAUGUCAUUUGAUUUAUUUAUUUUUUUAAAAUAAAACGAAUGACAUGUCGUCCACCCCAGGUGCAUUUUAAAAAACGACCUAGUCACGUGGUCCUUCCUUGGCAGGCCCGUGCAUGGGCCCUGAUGAAAGGGGUUAGGUAGACCCAGCAACGCCUAACCUUUUUUUUAUUUUUUUUUAUUUCAAUUAAUGCUUCUUUUUUUAUUUAAAAAGAAACUUUAUUAUAUUUAUAUUAAUACACUUUCUCUUUUUUAUUUUGUUUAAAAAGCCUUUUUUAAAAGAUGAUGAUUUUUUGGAUAUCCAUUUAAUUUUCAAAGAGAUUUUCCUUAUUCAUCUAUAAUUAAUGCCAAAUAAAUUGUUUCACAUCAAAUUAACCUCUACAUUUUGUUUCACUUUUGAAACUCAAAAUGACAAGUCAUUUCCAUAGAAACAUACAAAUAGAAAAAUGACCGAUGCAUAAUACUUAAACCCAAUGUGAAGCAAUGGCCAAGUAUAGACUUGCCUUUGCCUUUUUCCUUUUUACACAUAUUUUCUCAUUGUUUCAGUGACAUUUGCUUGCAUCAACCUUGUAGGAAAUUAGUUGCUUUAUACUGAAGUUUCAGAAUCAUACUCUAACCCCAGUCUUAAGCAAAUUAUCUUAAUUUGCAGUAUAUAUUGCCUAAACUUCAUUGAGAAUAACCUCAAAUUAAUUUUCUCUGGCACUCCACAGUAGAUCACUAUCCUUCCUAUCUUCAUCAACUUCUCAUUUCAUCAGUCAACAACGCCCCAUUACUUUCUCUCCUUUUUCUUGACACAUUCAGUAGUAAGAACAACAAUGGCUGACGCACUUGUAUCCCCAAUUUUGGAGCAGUUAACCACGAUCGUUGCUCGACAGGUACUCUUUUUUGUUUCUUUCUUUUUUUUUUGUUUUUUUUAUAAUCAACAGGUACUUAAUUACUUUUCUACAAUUUUGCAAUUAACCUAACAUUUAUAGUUCAUUAUACAUUGAUUUCAUUAUCUUAUAGAAUAUCUGUUAAUUUGUCAGAAGCUAAAUCAGUAGCUUGAUUUAUAUAUUAUCACAUUGCAUGUUAUCAAAUAAAAUACACACACAGACACACAAGAUAGCGGGUUCUUACGAUUCUCUUUCUUUAUAUCUUUUGUGCUAUACAAAAUAUGGUUAUUGUGAUGGCUGGUUAGAACAAAUCAAUAUAGUAAAAUAGUAGUAAAUUCCUUUUUCAAUAAUUCCUUAUCAUAUUUGAAUGCAUAAAUCAUUAUAUUUGUAAUAAAAUUAUUAUGAUAAAAUGAUUAAAAUAAAUAUAGUCAAAUAUUCGAUUAAUUACAAACAUGAUUAUAGAAAUUCUAAUAUUUCUUUUUUAUUUUGAUAUCAACCUCACAGAAUUUUUAAAAAAAUAGACUAUGAUAAUUAUUAAAAGUCACCUAAUAAUAUUGUGAAAUUGCAAUGUAUUGCGCUCCACAAUUAUAUGAUUAUUAUAAUAUCUAUGAAUUCUAUCUUUUAUCUAAAGAAAUCCUUUAUUCAAAUAAAAUAUAUUUUAAUUCACGCAUCUAGUAAAUUUUAGUACAAUAAUUGUGCAUUAGCAUUACAUUAUUUACGAGUCAUUUUAUUUUAGAGAGUUUAUUAUAUAUAAUUUGAAUAUAAUUAACAAUAUAAAUAUAUUAAUUGCUACUGUGAAAAAGUUUAAUAAAAAUGAUUUAAUCUAUUAAUUGCUAAAAAAUAAGAAUUUGUACUGAAAUCAUAGAAAUGUUUCCUAUGCUUAACGUUUCUUUUCCUCUGUACACUAAUAGGUACAAGAACAGGUGAACCUAGUAGUGGGUGUGAAGAAACAAUGUGACAAGCUGAAAAGCAAUCUCCUUGAUAUCCAAUCUGUCCUUGAAGAUGCAGAUAGAAAACAAGUGAAGGAUAAGGCUGUAAGAGAUUGGCUAGACAAGCUCAAAGAUGCAUGUUAUGAUAUGGAUGACGUGCUAGAUGAAUGGAAGCACUGCAAUUCUUCGAUGGAAAAUGGAGGAAGCUGUAGAAAAUACUCACAGCCGACAGAAGAUACAGUGUUCCUUCCUGGGAUCUCCUUGCUUUUGUUUCAAUCAAGUGGUUCGACGUCGCGACAUUGCCCUGAAGAUCAAAGAAGUUAGUGAAAAAGUGGAUGACAUUGCCAAAGAGAGAGCUAAGUAUGGCUUUGAUCUGUACAAAGCCACUGAUGAACUACAGCGACUAACAACUACCUCAUUUGUUGAUGAAUCAAGCGUGAUUGGUCGAGACGGCGAAAAGAGAAAUGUUGUAAGCAAGUUGCUGGCUGAAAGUAGUCAAGAAGCACGGGACGUGGAUGUCAUCUCUCUAGUAGGGCUGGGAGGAAUUGGAAAACUCGCCCAACUAGCUUUUAAUGAUGCUAAGGUUACGGAUCAUUUUGAGAAAAAGAUAUGGGUGUGUGUAUCAGAUCCAUUUGAUGAGGUUAGAAUAGCCAAAGCUAUCCUUGAGGAGCUUGAAGGGAGGGCAUCUGAUUUGGUAGGAUUGCAAUCCCUUUUGCGAAGGGUUUCUGAAUCCAUUAAGGGAAAGAGGUUCCUUCUUGUCCUUGAUGAUGUCUGGACAGAAAAUCAUGGACAAUGGGAACAACUGAAACCAUCUCUCACAGGCUGUGCACGAGGAAGCAGAAUUCUAGUGACCACUCGUAAGGACGCUGUGGCAACGAUGAUGGAAACUGACCACCGGAUCAACAUUGAGAAAUUGUCCGAUGAGAUAGGUGAGAAAGACAGAACUCUUUAGAACCUGCUUUGAGUGUAUUAAUUUAUUAUUAUUAUUUUUUUUGCUUUGAGAGUAUUAAUUAUUUGCUUUGGUGUUUGCUAAGGUUGAGUGUAAACAAUAUGGAAGCCUUACCAUUUACCUAUGUGACCUCUCUCAUCCUCUCAACAUAAAAUGAUAUGUAAUUCAUAUGUAUAAUUUCUCUCUCUCUCUCUCUUUUAAACCUCAGUUUCAGAUAAAUGAGAGAAUGGUAGACUUGGAAGCUAAACCUUUCAUCUAUAAGUGAUAUACCCAUCGAUUUUGGAGACUAAAUCCAAAUAAAGUUAUCCAAACCUAACACAAAAAAUCUUCAACAAUAAUUAAAUUACAAAUCAACAACAAAAUUCAGCAGCAAGGCCUAAUUAAAUGUUUACUCAUUUUUAUUUUUUUUAUAAAAAUAUGGUGAUCAAAUGCAGGUCAAAUAUUUUUAUUUUUUAAUAAAAAUUUAGUUCUUUAAAUAUAUUUUUCUAGUUCAAAAAAUAUAAUAAAUUAAAAAUUUUAUAUACAUCUAAUCAAAUAAAUUAAAAAAUAUUUAUGUUAAUAAAUAAAUAAAAAUUUGUUAAUAAUACUUAAAAACAAAACUGGUUCAAGCCUUCAUUGAGCUCAAUGUAAAGAGGACCAACCUGCCGUCAUAAAAGCCCAAAAUACUCCAUUAUAAAAGCCCAAGUAAAUAUCCCUGUCUUUCUCUCCCACACACUCGCAUUCUCAGUUUUUCCUCUCUGCGUCUUCAAGCAAUAAACCAUGGGUGAUAGCCAGUACUCCUUUUCUCUCACUACUUUCAGUCCUACCGGAAAGCUAGUACAGAUUGAGCACGCAUUGACUGCCGUUGGAUCAGGCCAAACUUCUCUCGGAAUCAAAGGUUGUUGCAAUUUAAGCUCUCUCUCUCUCUCUCUUUUCUCUCAUUUUCUUGUCAUUUUCGAAUGUACUAUGUUGUUGAUGGGUGCUUAGAUACUAUGUUGUUGAAUUUUUUUUUUUUGGUGUUGUAGCGGCAAACGGUGUUGUUAUUGCAACUGAGAAGAAAUUGCCAUCUAUUUUAAUCGAUGAAUCUUCUGUAAGUAAACUUUUUUUUUUUUUUUCGGUUUUGUUAUAUUCUUUGGUUGAAAUUCAAGAAACCCUUUUGUUUUUUUGCGUUUUUUAUUGUGUUUUCUUUGUGAACUUUUCGGGCUGGCCCUGCGAUCUUUUAGUAAUAACCUAAGUAUAGAGACAUGGGCUUGUAGCACUCUAAUUGAAGAAGCUGAUGAUUCUUGUGGAAAAGCAACGUGGAUUCUAGUCAAUGAGGUGUUGGUCUAGUAGUUAACAGGUUUAUAUUGAGAUUCUUAGGAGUCAUUUGAGUUUAGUGACAUCGGCUGGUAGAAAUCUGUUAAAAUUCGGUGUAAAUUUGUAAUUUUUAUUAGUAAUUUGAGCUUAGUGAUUUGGGCUCUUGCCAAUGAGGCGUUACUAUACUAGUUAAUGACUCUAAGAUUGAGACUUUGGAUGUUGGAGUCUCUAGAUUUAUAUCCUCAUUAAUCCCACAUUGUAUAAAAAGGUGUUGUUGAUUAUUUUAAAUCGUCUUGAAUGAGGUGGAGAUGGUUUGAUUUUGGAGCCAGUCGAUUGGUCUAUUAUUCUAAUUUGCAAGAUGGCAUGGAUUUUGGAUUAAAUCCAAAUAAAGUUAUCUAAACCUAACACAAAAAAUCUUUAACAAUGAAUGUCAUAACUCAAUUCUGGGUUAUUCUUCAAAAUCUAUUUUUUUAAAAUAAUAAUAAAAGCUGGCAACGUGGAGAAAGUAGGCGGGAAAUCAAGUUGCAAUUUUUGGAGGAAAUUCAAGACCUAAUUGUACUCCAUUAUGUCCAAAAAUGGAGAAAAAAAUGCAAAUUCAAGGUCAAAUUCAAUGAUUAUUGGACGAAUUUGCGUAAAAAUUAAGUCCAAUAACAUAAUUAAAUUUUUAAUAGGCCAAUUUGAUUUAAUCAUGGACCAAAUUAAAUUUUAAUUAUGUUUAAGAAUUAAUUUCGGUCCAAUUAAAGGAUUUAAUUAAGUGCAAGGACUUAAUUAUACUUUAAAUGGGUCAAAUUAAUUUUAUUUGGAGCCUAAUUGGUGAAAAAUUAAGUUUGAGAGCCUAAUUUGAGCAUAAUUGAGAAGAUUGGAAUUUUAAGAGACUAAAUUUAAUUUUUACCAAGUUAAUUGAUUGAAAUUAGGGGUCAAAUUGCAAGAAAAUUGAAGUUUUGGGGUCAAUUAGGGGUUAAAUUGACAAAAUUCACAACCAAGGAUCAAUCUGCAAAAGGCGCCAAACUAUAGGGGUUUAAUUGACAAAAUUCAGGGGUCAAAUUGAAGAAAUUGAAAGUUUAAUGGUCAAUUAGGGAUGAAAUUGCAUAAAUUCGAGACCAAUGACUAUACUGCAAAAGGCGCGUAAAUACAGGGCUAAAGUUGAAGUUCUGCAGGGGUCUUAUUCCAUUAAAUCAAAGGUUUAGGGUCAAUUAGGGGUUCAAUUGAACCAAAUUGAAAGCUAGAGGACUACAUUGAACUUCGGCAAAAUCCCUAAUUUUAACCCAAAAUGAUGUUGUUUUUGCGUUAAAAAAAAAAAGAAAGAUACCAGGCGACACGUUGCCUGGUCACUGUUCAUCUUCCCCGUGAACGCUGCCCGGGUAGCAGUUUUGCAGGUGCAUUUAAUGCCUCGCAUGUCCCCCAAAAUUGACAACACGUGCACCAAAAUAGUCACCUGAAAUCCCUCUAUCCCCGAGUAUUAUCUGGUCAGGCCUAUUAACAUGAAAACUGCUCCAGUGACCGGCCUGAAGUAGCCAACUCGGGCAGUUUUGGACUGUCAAAUUUGGCAGAUCGAGGUGCACACUUUGAACCAACGGUUGGAAUGCUUACCAACCAAACCAAAGGCCACGAUUUGACACCAUUAAAGAAAAAAUGUUCCUCUUCCAUCUCCUACAAAUAGGGCUGCAUUUCAUGGCCUGGAGGAGGAAGAAAUCGAGUCCAAAAUUGACAAAAAACCAGCCGCACCCUUCUGUUUUUCUCCUUUUCUUUUCUGCAACGAGUACUCUUUCUCUUUUCUCCUUCUCAGCCGUGCAUUCAGCCACCACCACUACCACCGCUAGCUUGACAACCAUCCUCUCCAGCACACUUCUCCCUCUCCAUUGAUUUCUUCUCCCUUUUCCUCCAUAGCGACAGCAGCUCAUCAGCACCACCAUUUUCUUUUUCUUCCUUCUCCAGCACCGGCAACAGCAACAUCAGCACCGACCUCCAUCCCCACAACCAGCUUUACCACCAUCAUUUCCAUCAACCCAGCUCUUCACCAGUGGCGGAGCAGCCACCGUGACCUUCUCUCUCUUCUCCUUCCAGCUUUUCUCUCUCCUCUGCAACUUUUUCUUCUUCCUCGCACAGUCGAAUCUGGCCACCAUCACCUCAGCCGACGCCCCCUGAGCCACCGGCUAAACCACCUCAUCACGACCGAGACCCCCACGCCAGGCAACUUCCUCCUCCCUGCUUUGCCUCUUUCUUCCUCGUCGUGGCUGCUGCAUGCAGAAUUUAUUUCUACAUGGAGUAAGCUAAUUAAUUAGCCCCUGGUUUGGGUCGGGCCAGUUAUAGCCCUGCCCAAGUGGUUGGGUCUUGCCUGGCCCCCAUUUAAAAAAAAAUCAAAAAAAGUUUUCAAAAAUCAUUUUAAAAAAAAUUUGGGAUUUUUCUCGCAUAUUUUUCUACCAAUUUUGCAUAAUAUCGGGUUGUAUAUUUACACUGUAAAAUACAAAUCUAGUAUUAAAAUACCCGGUUUUCUCCAAAAUAUUUCAAAAAAAAAAUCAAAACAUUUUCAAAAAGAAAAAAAUAUUUCGUUGCAUAUGGCCAAAUUCUAAAAAAAUUUCAAGCAUAUUUUCAUAAAAAAAAUUGCAUCUCUCUCAUGUUUUGAAAAUAAAAAAUGGAUAUCAUAAACAGUUUAUGAUCAUCCAUUAGUAUUUGGCCAACAUGUCAAAAAUCUUUUUCAAAUCUUUUUUUUAUGAUCUAGAUGUAGACUUUAAUAUUUGUGGGGUGUAAAAUUACAUGAUAAAGUACACCCUUAUGUAUUAAAGAUACAAGGUGUAAAUAAAUGCGAUGCCAAAAUUCAGACUUUAGAAUAGUUAGAAUUUAACCCGAUAAGGUAGAAACUCUCUCAUGAAGAGAGAUCUGCCUUGAGCCUUAGAAAAGACUAACGAAUAAAAACCCAACUUAGAAAAAAAACAAUCAAACAAACAAUGCAGCUUACCUGAGGUAGGGUGCAUUGGGGGUGAUGCGUCUUUCCCUUGCAUAACCAGUCCCUUACUCAUACUCUCGCAGACCAUAGAUUCCUAGUGACCAUAAUACUAGGUGGCGACUCCUAAACAUUAAUCAUAAUUCUAUAAUUAAAUCCAAAAACCCUUUCCAACACACAACACCUCACAUAGGAGGCACGGCAAAGAGCCUCCGCCGUCGCGGCGCUCACGCCCCCGCGACAAUGAAUAUGAUUUCUGCUAAUGAAAGGCAAGCCCCCUAGUGCCUGUGCUUUCUAAAUGCCAUCACAGCCCCAUUCAAGGAACUUCCAGACAGAGGAUUCUUCAGACCAAUAGCAUUAAUAAUGGAAGACAAUAUAGAUUCAAACUAUGAUAUCAGAAUCAAUAUAGAUACCACCAUAUUUGCUUAACCCAACAUACAAAGGACAAAUUGCAGAAACAAUGAUUCUAAACAUAAUAGAACCAGCACAUGGAAUAUAAAACAAAAGUUCAUCUCAACUCUAGUGAAGAUAUUCUAGGGGAGUUUUUCGAUCUAUUUUUGAGGGGUUUGUUGGGUAUUUUGAUUCAUUAGCAGCCUUCCAAGUCUUUGUGAUAUUAAUCCGUAAAGACAUGUAAAAAUACCUAGUUACCAUGAUGAGUUUCUCAAAUUUUUUUCAUAUGAAAAGAGAGGUUGAAACCCCGGACCAGUGACCUCCUAGGAAUCAUUAUGCACCCCAACCCACAUGGAAGUGUGAGAUCAACCUCUUAGGAAUCAUUGUGCACCCCAACUCAUAUGCAAGUGUGUAAUUGUUGGUGGACCUCGAGUUGCAGGCUCUCCCUUGUGGUUUUGUUUUUUAGAGUGGCUUACUGCUCACCCAUGGGUGGUGUCAAGGAGAUAUUAACUAACACAUGGUUUCCAAUUCAAGAGCCAUCAUCAAAAUCACAAGAUUCUGAUUGCCAAAUUCUCAACCAAAUAAAAGUUUGAUUAAAUUGAAUUGAAUAGCACCAAAUAUUCAAUGGAUCAACAAAAAUAAAAGGUAAUGUUUAUAAAACCAAUUUUAAUAUAGCUCAAAAUUAAGCGGAUCUUUUCGGUAAUUAAGGUAAGAACUUCAACAAAAAAAAAUAAAGAAAAGAAUUAAUAUGGCCUGACAUGGUUAAAAUAUCCCGGUAAACUCAAGUAAAAUUUGGUUAAAUAUUGUUGAUUUUUUUUGGAAAAAACAAUUUUAGUCAAAACAAUAUUAUUUUAAUUCAGAUUUGACAACUCAGGAUGCCUACUUUGAGGCAAUGGUUGGGAUCCUUACCAACUGAAUCAAGGGCUGAAAUUUUUUCCUGGUAUAAACAAGAUUGCUCUCUUCCACCUCCUAUAAAUAGAGGUGGAUUUCCUGGCCUGGGGGAGGAGAAAAUUAGGACCAAAGUCGGCAAAAAACCAGCCCCUCUGCCCUUGUUUCUGCAGUUUUUCUCUCCCUCUCUCCCCCCACCGUUCGAGCCACCACCUGCUCCACCACAGGUAGCUAGCCCAACCACAAGCUGAUCACCCCCAUUCCUGAAACAGUCACCGUUUCUUCCUCUCUCUCACCUCUGCAAAAUCCUUCUUCCUUCCCCCGUGAUCGACUCCGGCCACCAUUCCUCCCAGCGACGCCACCAAAACCAUCAACACAACCUCCUGAUCACGGCCGAGACUCCUGCUUCGAGUGAGCCGCUCCUCCGUCAACCUUCAUUUUCUGCAACCAUUUCAGUUGCAUGCAGAACGUGAACCACUGUUCACGUUCUGCAAAUAAUUAACAUUAACUUUGGGUCGGGCCAGUUAUGGCCUAGCCUAAUUGGUCGGGUCUGCCCUGGCCCAAAAAAAAGAGAGAAAAUGUGUUGGGCCAAGAUCGGCCCAUUGUUUUCUGGGUUUGUGCCUGACCCACUUAUCUGGGCCGACCCGACCCACAUGUUUUAAUAAUAUUUAAUUAAUAUAUAAUAUUAUAUUAUAUAUUUCUUUUAAAAAAAUAAAAAAAUAAAAAAUCCUUUGAAAAAAAUUGUGAUUUUUUCACAUUUUUUUCUAUCAAUUUUGCAUAAUAUUGGGUUGUAUAUUUACACUUUAAAAUACAAAUCCGAUAUUAAAAUACCUGGUUUUCUCUGAAUUUUUUUUAAAAAAAAUUUCAAAACAUUUUCAAAAAGAAAAAAAAAUUUUUGUUGCAUAUGGACAAAUUCUAAAAAAUUUCCAAGGAUAUUUUCAUUAAAAAAAAUUGCAUCUUUCUCAUGUUUUGAAAACCCAAAAAAAUAGAUAUCAUAACCGGUUUAUGAUUAUCUAUUAGGGUUCGACCAAAAUAUCAAGAACUUUUUUUCAAUUUUUUUUUAGGAUCCAGACGUAAACUUUAAUAUUUGUGGGGUGUAAAAUUACAUGAUAAAGUAUACCCUCGGGUAUUAAAAAUACAAGGUGUAAAUAAAUACGAUGCUAAAAUUUAGACUUUAGAACAGUUAGGAUUUAACCCAAUAAGGUAGAGACUUUUUCAUGAAGAGAGAUCUACCUUAAACCUUAGAAAAGACCAACGAAUAGAAACCAGACUUAGAAAAAAAAAUUAAACAACAACGUAGCUUACCUUAGGUAGGGUACAUUGGAGGUGAUGCGUCUUCCUCUUGCAUAACCAAUUCUUUACCCAGACUCUCGCAAACCAUAGGUUCCUAGUGACCAUAACACUAGGUGGCGACUCCUAAACAUUAAUCGUAAUUUCAUGAUUAAAUCCAAAAACCCUUCCCAACACACCACACCUCACACAAGAGGCACGACAAUAGCCUCUACCGUCGCCAGACGACGUCGCAUUGGCGCUCGACCCCCUUGACAACACUAUUAAAAAACAAAAAACAAUAUGUAAUGGCUCUUCAAAAUAUAUUUAAAAACACUUUUUACUGUCACUAAAUUUUUUUGAUCCGUAACAAAAUUAUCAGAAAUGGUCACUACAUAUAGUGUCAUAAUUAAGUUGAUGCAGUGACACCAAACCCUCUAUAAAAGAGAUUAAAGAUCCAAUUUAAUAAUUUGAUGAAAUUGAAAAUUAAAGAUCCAAUUUAAUAAUUUGAUGAAAUUGAAAAUUAAAGAUCCAAUUUAAUAAUUUGAAGGAAUUUGAUAUGAUUUAUUACUUUCAAAUUAUAUGUAAUCUUUUUUGUUAUGAAAAAAGGGGUUUGAAUUCAAGAUUUUCUUGGAAGAAAAAUACUAAAAUCAUUCAAGUUACAACUCAUUGAAGAUAGUUCAAUGCAGAUGAUAAAACUUGAAUAUCAAAUCCUGGAAACUACAAUAUGCUUAGCCUUCAGCUAGUUAAAAAAACGAAUAUCAAAUCCUGGAAACUACAGUUGAUAAAUAAACCUGGUCCUCGGAACCUGCUUUCAAGUCUCGUUAAUAUCACAUUGCUUAGCAAAAACCCUAAUUCCCGCAAGAACCCUGCUUUCAAGUUUUUCAAUUGCAUGAGUUGCUUUUACUUCCCCUGUCAUUCCAAUUUUCUUUGAUUCUCAUUUCAUCCUUUUAUGGUCAUCAAAUCUUUCUCAUUACUUCAGGUAUAUACGUACAUCACAUCAAUUUCAUUUUUCAACCUACAAGUCGUGCUCUUCCUUCACCACAGCCCUACAAAAACUAAUAAAAAAAUGUUGAGACACUAAAAUACAAGCUUCACUAGUAAAAAAAACUACAAGUUGCAAGAACUCCACCUGCAACACCAAACCCUAAGUAAAUAAACUAACUUCCAUUCACAAUCAGCCGCCUCCUUCCCUUCACCGUCUCUUUCUCUCUGCUCAUCCCAUCAUCAUUGCCUCUCUCUCUCUCUCUCUCUCUCUCUCUCCAAUCAGAACUAAACAGACGAUGGCUGAGGCACUUGUAUCUCCGAUCUUGGAGCAGUUAACCACGAUCGUUGUUCAACAGGUAUUUUUCUACCAUCUGCAAUAACCUGAUUUACCUAGCAGGGAUAAGAAAUAUAAAGGUCAAGCCUUUUUUCUUCCUAUCAUAAAAAGAAUACUUUUAACUUGAAUAAAUGAAAAUGGUAUAUGUUUGGAUUUUAUUAAAGAAUCUUCUUUUUGUUGUUUUAUUAUUUUUCAUAAUUCCAAAAAUAACCUAAAGAAAAUAUAUCAUUCCAAAUAUAGGAAAACCGAAAAAGGCAAAACAAGAGUUGCCAAUUCUCUUUAAACUGAACUAUUAAGGGUAAAAUAAUCAAUAAAAAGUUCAGAGGAUUAGCGAGCGAGUGUAUAUAUAUAUAUAUAUAUAUAUAUAUAUAUAUAUAUAUAUAUAAGGUAAAAUAUAUCUAUAGUUUAAUGUAAAAUAAAAACCAGAUUUUAUGUCGGUUCAAAGGAGAAAUCCUUCUCUCGUGAGAACAUUAAACUCUUUCCAUGCCUAUAUUAAUUAUAUAUAUAUACGUACAAGUUUAACGUUGUACCAUUUAAGAUUCAUUUUAUACCUUCUUAUACAGUAGCAUAGUGCAGACUGAUAUCAUCAUAAUGAUGAUAAAAAGAAAAAAGAAAUAUUAUUAUUUCUAAUAAAUAUUUUACAUAUAAAUUAUUAAUAUAGUAAAUCCAUUUCACAAUAAAAUAUAUUAAUACAAAAUAGAAAUGUUUCCUGUGCUUGAACUUCCUUGUCUUUUCUACACUAAUAGGUACAGGAAGAGGUGAACCUAGUAGGGGGUGUGAAAUUGUCUUGAAAUCACAGAAAUGUUUCCUAUGCUUAACGUUUCUUUUCCUUUGUACACUAAUAGGUACAAGAAGAGGUGAACCUCGUAGUGGGUGUGAAGAAACAAGUCGACAAGCUGAAAAGACAUCUCCUUGCUAUCCAAUCUCGCAUUGAAGAUGCAGAUAGAAAACAAGUGAAAGAUGAGGCUGUAAAGGAUUGGCUAGACAAGCUCAAAGAUGUAUGUUAUGAUAUCGAUGACGUGCUAGAUGAAUGGAGCACUGCAAUUCUUAGAUGGAAAAUGGAGGAAGCUGAAGAAAAUACUCGCAGCCGACAGAAGAUGCGAUGUUCCUUCCUGAGAUCUCCUUGCUUUGGUCUCAAUCAAGUGGGUCAACGUCGGGACAUUGCCCUUAAGAUCAAAGAAGUAUGUGAAAAAAUGGAUGACAUUGCCAAAGAGAAAGCUAUGGAUGGCUUUGUUCCGUACAGAGCCACCGAUGAACUACAACGACUAAUAAGUACCUCCUUUGUUGAUGAAUCAAGCGUGAUUGGUCGAGAUGUUGAAAAGAAAACUGUUGUAAGCAAGUUGGUGGGUGAAAGUAGUCAGGAAGCACGGGACGUUGAUGUCAUCUCUCUAGUAGGGCUGGGUGGAAUGGGAAAAACAACUCUCGCCCAACUAGCUUUUAAUGAUGCUGAGGUUACGGCUCAUUUUGAGAAAAAGAUAUGGGUGUGUGUUUCAGAACCGUUUGAUGAGGUUAGAAUAGCAAAAGCAAUCAUUGAGCAGCUUGAAGGGAGUCCAACGAAUUUGGUUGAAUUGCAAUCCCUUUUGCAAAGGGUUUCUGAAUCCAUUACUGGAAAGAGGUUCCUUCUUGUCCUGGAUGAUGUCUGGACAGAAAAUCAUAGACAAUGGGAACCACUGAAACUCUCUCUCAAAGGCGGUGCACGAGGAAGCAGAAUUCUAGUGACCACUCGUAAGGACGCUGUGGCAACGAAAUUGGGAACUGACCACCGGAUCAACAUUGAGAAAUUGUCCGAUGAGAUAUGCAGGUCAAUAUUCAAUCAUGUGGCAUUCCAGGAAAGAAGCAAAGAUGAGCGCGAAAGAUUGACAGAUAUCGGCGAUAAAAUUGCAAACAAGUGCAAGGGCUUGCCUCUAGCUGCCAAGGUAUUAGGAGGUCUAAUGCAGUUUAAAAGAACAAGAGAAGAGUGGGAACGUGUUUUAUCUAGCGAACUGUGGAGGCCAGAUGAGGUUGAUAGAGACCAGGUUGAAAGACAAAUAUUUAUACCGUUGCUUUUGAGUUACUACGAUUUACCUUCUGUGGGAAGACGAUGUUUCUUGUAUUGUGCCAUGUUUCCAAAAGACUACGAGAUGGACAAAGAUGAAUUGGUGAAGAUGUGGAUGGCUCAAGGUUACCUCAAGGAGACUUCAGGUGGAGAUAUGGAGCUUGUAGGAGAGCAGUACUUUCAAGUCUUAGCAGCGCGCUCUUUCUUCCAAGAUUUUAAGACGUAUGGUCGAGAAGGUAUUGCAUUCAAGAUGCAUGAUAUAGUGCAUGAUUUUGCCCAAUAUAUGACAAAAAAUGAAUGUCUAACAGUGGACGUCAAUAACCUUGGAGAAGCAACAGUGGAGACUUCAAUUGAAAGGGUUCGUCAUUUAAGCAUGAUGCUGUCAGAGGAGACUUAUUUUCCCGAGUUCAUUCAGAAAGCAAAAGGUCUUCGCAGCCUCUUGAUCAACACUAGAGACCCUUCACUUGGAGCUGCACUUCCUGAUCUAUUCAAGCAGUUGACAUGCAUCAGGUCAUUGAAUUUGUCAGAGUCUUCAAUCAGAGAAUUGUCAGAGUCUUCAAUCAAAGAAAUACCAAACGAGGUAGGGAAAUUGAUACAUUUGAGACACGUCAAUUUUGCAUAUUGUUAUCAGUUGGAGUCCCUGCCAGAAACCAUGUGUGAUUUAUGCAAUCUGCAAUCCCUAGACGUUACUUGGUGUGGUUCUCUCAAGGAAUUGCCUAAGGCGAUUGGAAAACUUAUCAAAUUGAGGCAUCUCCAGAUUGAUGGUUCAGGUGUGGCCUUCAUACCAAAGGGAAUAGAGAGGAUAACAUGUCUUCGAACAUUAGAUGUGUUUAAAGUUUGUGGCGGUGGUGAGAAUGAAAGUAAAGCAGCUAAUCUAAGAGAAUUAAAAAACUUAAAUCACAUUGGAGGGAGUCUUAACAUACGGAAUCUAGGAGGAGGUAUAGAAGAUGCGAGUGACGCUGCAGAAGCACAACUCAAGAAUAAGAAGCGCCUGCGUCGUUUGGAAUUGGUUUUCGACAGAGAGAAAACAGAGUUGCAAGCGAAUGAAGGCUCUUUAAUUGAAGCUUUACAGCCUCCGUCAGACUUGGAAUAUCUGACCAUAUCUAGUUACGGAGGGUUUGAUUUGCCAAAUUGGAUGAUGACAUUGACCAGAUUACUGGCUCUUGAACUGCAUGAUUGUACAAAGCUGGAGGUCUUGCCUCCGUUGGGAAGAUUGCCCAACCUUGAAAGCCUGGCAUUCUGGUCGUUGAAGGUGAGAAGGCUGGAUGCUGGAUUUUUAGGUAUAGAAAAAGAUGAGAAUGCCAGUAUUAAGGAAGGAGAAAUUGCAAGGGUCACUGCUUUUCCCAAAUUAAAAACACUUGAGAUUUGGCAUCUCGAAGAAGUAGAAGAGUGGGAUGGAAUUGAAAGGAGAUCAGUGGGAGAAGAAGAUGCCACCACAACUUCAAUAAUAUCCAUGAUGCCACAACUUCGAUGGUUGAGAAUUAUCAAUUGCCCGUUGCUGAGAGCACUACCAGACUAUGUUUUGGCAGCGCCUCUACAGGAAUUAGACAUAAGGUGGUGCACCAUUCUAAGGAAACGUUACGGGAAGGAGGAGAUGGGUGAAGAUUGGCAAAAGAUUUCUCACUUCCCAAACAUUUAUUUUGAAUAAUAUGUAAGCCUUACCAUUUACUCUAUGUGACCUCUUUACUGUAAAAUCCAAGACCUAUCACUGAUCAUGGCAAGACUCACUCCUCUAUUUCCAGAUCCAAAAAUGUCAAGAUAUUUUUAAUUCUUUAAUUCUAUGAAUAAAAACAUAGAUAUUGAAUUUUUUUUUUAAUCUUUCAUAAAUUGAAUUCAAUUUUCGAAAACUUUCUACAAAUCUAAAUAUGGAUAUUGAAAACGACAUCAAAAUAGGAACUUUCAUAGGUUUCCACACACUCCCAUAUGCCUUGAGCUUAAGCGCAGGUGGACAUCUUUUUUUUCUUUUUCUUUUUUUCCAAGACAAAUGCUGCAACCUAUUAAUCAUCCAUGAGCCAUGUGUGCAUACCGCACGCCUCCUUACAGGGCAUCUUCACUGCCGGACUGGUGGGAUUCAUAUAGACUUCAUAUGUGCUACUUUGAGGCUCCAUAUCUCCGUUUCUAGUGUUCUUGAACUCGUCAGAGAGCUUACACUGCAUGCUAUCUAUAACAACAGAUAUCAAGCACAGACAAUAAAGCAUAAGAAAAUUACAAGACAGAAAAACCAAUUCAUCGUAAUUCAAACGCUGAAAUCUCUCAGCAUACAAGUCCAAUUUACACGCCAUUUCCCAGAUUUAGUGCUCGUGGCAGAUGCACAUGAGGUAAUCAUUUCAUGCUAUUUGAUGCUUUCUAAAGUUACCAUAUAUGUCCAUAAUACGAGUUUGAAACAGAAACUGAUGCAAACAGCCAUAUUAAUCAUCCAUGAGCCAAAAAUUAAGAACUGCAAGAGUAAAAUGAACUGACUUCUUACUGCAAAAUGUGAACAGGCAAACGGUGGAUUUGGAAAUCAAGGGGGCAAGAAAAACCUUGUAAUUCAAAUAGGUGCACAGGCUAGGUGUGACAACCCUUUUAAUUCAUGAUCAGUGUAAAAUAUCUAUGGUUGUGGUAAUGCUAAUUAGAGUUGUUGAAUUAUAUUGCAAUGCAAUUCCAUGAUGUAAAAGUAUUUUUCAACUUGGAUUAAACUCACUUAAUUAGUUUAUUAAUUUGUACAAAAAUAGUUUUAUUUCAUAAAAUCUCAUAAAAUAGAAAUUACAAAUAGUAAUUCAACUCAUAAUUUCAUGCUCUCUCUUAUAUAAAAUUUUAAUUUGAACUAAACUAUUCUUUAUAGAAUGAAGUAUUAUUGCUUUCCAUCUAGAAAUGAAACACAAUAAAUUAUUUCAUAAAACAAUACAUGCAAAAUAAUUCAAUACUACUUAUAAAAGAAAAACCAUUUUAAAGUAUUAAGUCAAAAAUUCAGGAUGUUUUAAAGUAAUCCCUAGUAAUUUUGAUUUUCUCAUAAAUCUAAUUUUAUUGAGUGAAUGAAAGAUUUCAAAUAUAUAGUACGUAGUAUAUAAAUAAUUUUCUGAACCAAAGAAAGAUUUCAAAUAUAUAGUACGUAGUAUAUAAAUAAUUUUCUGAACCAAAGAAAAAACAGAAUUUUAGGAGUGAUUUAAAAUCAUGAACUAGAAUUUAAGUAUUCAAGUUGAGCAUAUUAAAUUUGAAUUCCCAGUCGUUCAAGUGCAUGGGACACAAAUCCUUCUUCAAGAAUCGUUGUGUUUUCUUCCCCUCGGAACCCAUUAAAACAUGGAGCCCAAAAGUAUUUAGAUUGCCCAAUUCACCAAGUCAUAAUGAGAGAACCCAAGCCCAAGCAGAGUACUCUGGGCUAAUUCAUUUUAUUUAGUACUAUGAUUAUUAUAUGCACUCCAUUAAUUAUUAGUUCCACUUCAUUUUGUAGCCACGAUGAUCAAUUAUGCAUAUGACCUCACCUCAACACUAGUUUUGUACCCGCACUCUGCAAUGAGGUGCAUAUAGUGUUUUUUCAGAGCAUCAAAGCAUUGACUAAGAAAGACUGACUGAAUUGAAACAGAACGCAACGAGACUUUUGGGUUUGAAACUAAUCCAGUGAAGACAGCAAAUAACCUUCUUCUUUUUUUUUUGUAAGGGAAGGCAAAUAGAAUGAGUUUAAAGCAUAAUGACUUAAUUGCAAAAUGCAUAUGAAUGCAGUUUUUUGACAAGGGAGUUUGGUGUUCCUGAAGCAGCAACAAUGGCUGCUAAGCUACGCAUAAUUUGUUGUCUUGUUCCCAACAAUGCCAUUCUGAUCCCAAACGCUGCUGAGUCUAGCAUGCUGAUUUCCUCACUAAUUUCGAUCUGAAUUUCAAUUUCCAGAUUUCAUAACCUUAGCCCUUAUUUUAGUAACCAAACAACUCUCUUCCUAUGUUCCUGCAUCUGCAUGUCGACUCUUCACUCUCUGAUUCCUGAAUCUUGAAAAGACUCUUCCUUUGUUUUUCUAGUUGUCUUGCGUUAUGUUUCUAGCUAAAAGAAGAAAUAAGUGACUUAAAUUAUGAAAAAGUAGAAAAAGACAAUGAAAGAAGUGCCUUAAAUCACGUUAAGUUAAGAAAGGAAUGAAAAGAAAAAAAGAAGAAAGGAAGGUGAUGUAGUCCAUACAAAAUGAAUCCUUUCCUCCAGAAAAUCUUGCUCAUUUCUUGUCCUUUUCACACCCAUUUGCUCCCCUUCACAAACAAACCUCCCCAUUUAAAGGAGCUCCAAUCACGCAAACCAGCAAUCCUUCCCAACUUUUUUCCAUGACCACAGCACGCUACUGAUAUCCACACAGCCCCAGCUUCAGACAGCUUCCAUCACGCAGACCCUUUCCUGUUAACACAACCGCAGAGCCUGUAGCUGCCGCCAACAAAACCCCAGCAUCCUCUCCAUGAAUAAACCAAAACACAUCCCUGCUCAUCCACUGAUAACUCCUUAAACUACCCAGAUACAUGACUUCCAAAAGGUAUAUGAUUUUUAAAGUUAAAUGUAACCUCUAAAAGUAUGGAGAGUUGGGGACUUGAAUUAUUCUUUGCACGGUGACAAAUGAAUUCUAGAAUUUAGAUUUUUAUUUCCCAUCUAAAUAUUAAAAUAUUUGACAUUAAAGAUAUUUUAAUAUAUUUUUAAACAAAAAAAUAUAUAUAAAAAAUACUUUACAGCAUAAUUUCAAGCACCAUCAACAAAUCCAAUCAUACAACCUCAACAAAUCUGGACCAUCCAUUUUCAGACCCAAAAUCAAAGAUCAAUAUCAAACCCCAGUCCCUGCUAUGAAAACAGGAUAAAAUCACCAGAUCUCAAAAACCCAGAUAGAUAGAUGCUUGUUUAUAUUUCCAUUACACAAGAACUAAUUGGUUACUAAUUUUGGUUUGUUUAAAUUAGUUUGAAUGGCCAGAUAUAUAUUACAUAAAAUGAAGAGAAGAAAUAGAGAAGCAGGAAUUUCAGUAGAAUGCUAUAAUCAGAUGUCCAUAUCAGAUACAUUCUUAACCUACGGUCAGUAUCAAUAAAAAAUAAUUGCUAUAUAUCGAAGAAGAAAUUACUUUCCACAAAUAAUAAUCCUUAGCCUAGAACUCGGUAGAAUUGAAAAGCACGAGUGUUUCACCUUUGGAACUCAAAAUGGCAUGUCAUUCUCAGUAGAAACAUACAACCAGGACUAGACUGAAAAGCUACAAUAAUAUAGGGACUGAAUUGAAGUGUUAGAAACAGUACAGGGACUGAAACAAAACUCAACCCCCAUCACCAAACCCUAAGUACAUAAACUAACUAAACCAGCAGCCUCCUUCCACUCACACUCUCUUCUCUCUCUUUCUCAGUUCAUCCUAACAUCAUUGUCUAUUUUUUAAAAAUAAUUAAAUUAAACAGACAAAUGGCAGAGGCACUUUUAUCGCCAAUUUUGGAGCAGCUAACCACGGUCGUUGCUCGACAGGUAAUUACUUUUAUACAAUUUGCAAUGAUCUAAUUAACCCUUACAUUAAUAAGAAAUAUAAAAAUGAUCUCUUUUUCUUUCUUUAUAAGAAAAACAAAAUAAAAUAUCAAAUCCUCAGAUCUAGAUUUGGAUUUUAUUAAAGAAAUUUCUAUUUAUUGUUUUAUUAUUUUUCAUAUUUCUGGAAAUAAUCUAAAACAAAUAUUCUUAGAAGGAAAAUGGAGUUGUCGAUCCUCUCAUAAAACUGAACUACUAAGGGUAAAAUAAUCAAUCAGAUGUUAAAAUAAUAAGUUUCAUAAUCUUAUUAUAAUACCAACAAAUAUUUAUUUCCAAAUAGAUUUUACGAAUACCAACAAAUACAGAUCCUUUUAUUCUCAAUAUUUCUUUGAUCCACCAAGCUUAUGUUAUAUAUAGGUUUGACGUUGAACAAUUUAAGAUUCAUUUUCUUCCUUCUUGUAUAGUAGCAGAGUGCAGACAGAGAUAUCAUCAUGAUGAUGAUAAAAAUAAAUAUUAUUAUUUUUAAUAUAUUGGUUUUUAAUAAAUAUUUUAUAUAUAAAUUAUUAAUAUAGCCAAUCCAUUUCACAGUACGUGUCAACUACUGCGAAAAAAAACAGAUUAAUAAAAAUUAUCUAAUCUAUUAAUUACCAAAAAUUAAAAUUAAAAACUUGCAGUGAAAUCAUGGAAAUGUUUCCUCUGCUUGAACUUCUUUAUCUUUUCCACACUAAUAGGUACGAGAAGAGGCCUAGUGGGGGAUGUGAAGAAACAAGUCGACAAGCUGAAAAGCAAUCUCCUUGCUAUCCAAUCUGUCCUUGAAGAUGCAGAUAGACAACAAGUGAAGGAUAAGGCUGUAAGAGAUUGGCUAAACAAGCUCAAAGAUGUAUGUUAUGAUUUGGAUGACGUGCUCGAUGAAUGGAGCACUGCAAUUCUUAGAUGGAAAAUGGAGGAAGCUGAAGAAAAUACUCGCAGCCGACAGAAGAUGCGAUGUUCCUUCCUGAAAUCUCCUUGCUUCUGUCUCAAUCAAGUGGUUCAACGUCGCGACAUUGCCCUCAAGAUCAAAGAAGUUAGUGAAAAAGUGAAUGACAUUGCCAAAGAGAGAGCAAUGUUUGGCUUUGAGUUGUACAGAGUCACUGAUGAACUCCAGCGACUAACAACUACCUCCUUUGUUGAUGAAUCAAGCGUGAUUGGUCGAGAUGGUGAAAAGAAAAAUGUUGUAAGCAAGUUGCUGGCUGAAAGUAGUCAAAAAGCACGGGACGUGGAUGUCAUCUCUCUAGUAGGGCUGGGCGGAAUUGGAAAAACAACUCUCGCCCAACUAGCUUUUAAUGAUUCUGAGGUUACGGCUCAUUUUGAGAAAAAGAUAUGGGUGUGUGUUUCAGAUCCAUUUGAUGAGGUUAAAAUAGCCAAAGCUAUCCUUGAGCAGCUUGAAGGGAGUGCACCGAAUUUGGUUGAAUUGCAAUCCCUUUUGCAAAGGGUUUCUGAAUCCAUUAAGGGAAAGAGGUUCCUUCUUGUCCUUGAUGAUGUAUGGACAGAAAAUCAUGGACAAUGGGAAAAACUGAAACCAUCUCUCACAGGCUGUGCACGAGGAAGCAGAAUUCUAGUGACCACUCGUAAGGACGCUGUGGCAACGAUGAUGGGAAGUACUGGCCACCGGAUCAACAUUAAGGAAUUGUCCGACGAGAUAUGCAGGUCAAUAUUCAAUCAUGUGGCAUUCCAGGAAAGAAGCAAAGAUGAGCGCGAAAGAUUGACAGAUAUCGGCGAGAAGAUUGCAAGCAAGUGCAAGGGCUUGCCUCUAGCUGCCAAGGUAUUAGGAGGUCUGAUGCAGUUUAAAAGAACAAGAGAAGAGUGGGAACGUGUUUUAUCUAGCGAACUGUGGGAGCUAGAACAUGUUGAAAGGAGACUAUUUCCACCUUUGCUUUUGAGUUACUACGAUUUACCUUAUGUGGAAAGACGAUGUUUCUUGUAUUGUGCCAUGUUUCCAAAAGACUACGACAUGCGCAAAGAUGAAUUGGUGAAGAUGUGGAUGGCUCAAGGUUACCUGAAGGAGACAUCAGGUAGAGAUAUGGAGGUUGUUGGAGAGGAGUACUUUCAAGUCUUGGUAGCACGCUCUUUCUUCCAAGAUUUUAAGAAGUAUGGUCUAGAAAAUAUCAGAUUCAAGAUGCAUGAUAUAGUGCAUGAUUUUGCCCAAUAUAUGACAAAAAAUGAAUGUCUAACAGUGGAUGUCAAUACACUUGGAGGAGCAACAGUGGAGACUUCAUUUGAAAGGGUUCGUCAUUUAAGCAUGAUGCUGUCAGAGGAGACAUCUUUUCCCGUGUCUAUUCACAAAGCCAAAGGUCUUCGCAGCCUCUUGAUCGACACUAGAGACCCUUCGCUUGGAGCUGCACUGCCUGAUUUGUUCAAGCAGUUGACAUGCAUCCGGUCAUUGGAUUUGUCAAAGUCUUCUAUCAAAGAAAUACCGAACGAGGUAGGGAAAUUGAUACAUUUGAGACACCUCAAUCUGGCAUCUUGUGGAGAGUUGGAGUCCCUGCCAGAAACCAUGUGUGAUUUAUGCAAUCUGCAAUCCCUAGACGUUACUUGGUGUGGUUCUCUCAAGAAAUUGCCUAAUGCGAUUGGAAAACUUAUCAAAUUGAGGCAUCUCCGGAUUAAUGGUUCAGGUGUGGACUUCAUACCAAAGGGAAUAGAGAGGAUAGCAUGUCUUCGAACAUUAAAUGUGUUUAUUGUGUGUGGUGGUGGUGAGAAUGAAAGUAAAGCAGCUAAUCUAAGAGAAUUAAAAAACUUAAAUCACAUUGGAGGGAGUCUUGGGAUACGGAAUCUACAAGAUGCGAGUGACGCUGCAGAAGCACAACUCAAGAAUAAGAAGCGCCUGCUUCGUUUGGAAUUGGAUUUCGACUACAACCAGGAGAGCGGCAUUUUAAUUGAAGCUUUACGGCCUCCGUCUGACUUGAAAUAUCUAACCAUAUCUAGGUACGGAGGGUUGGAAUUGCCAAGUUGGAUGAUGACAUUAACCAGAUUACAGGAGCUUAUACUGUCUGAUUGUACAAAGCUGGAGGUCAUGCGUCCGUUGGGAAGAUUGCCCAACCUUGAAAGCCUGGUAUUGAGGUCGUUGAAGGUGAGAAGGCUGGAUGGUGGAUUUUUAGGUAUAGAAAAAGAUGAGAAUGCCAGUAUUAAUGAAGGAGAAAUUGCAAGGGUCACUGCUUUCCCCAAAUUAAAAACACUUUGGAUUGGUAAUCUCGAAGAAGUAGAAGAGUGGGAUGGAAUUGAAAGGAGAGUGGGAGAAGAAGAUGUCAACACAACUUCAAUAAUAUCCAUUAUGCCACAACUUCGAUGGUUGACAAUUCUUAACUGCCCGUUGCUGAGAGCACUACCAGACUAUGUUUUGGCAGCGCCUCUACGGGUAUUAGACAUAUGGGGUUGCCCCAUUCUAAGGAAACGUUACGGGAAGGAGGAGAUGGGUGAAGAUUGGCAAAAGAUUUCUCACAUCCCAAACAUUUCUAUUUAUAGUUAAAGAAUAGUAAAGGCACGGAAGUCUGUAGGACCGGCAGGAAGAGGUAUGUUUCAUAUACCUCUUUACUGUAUAUUGUUGACUUUGGAUUGUAUUUCCUACUUACCAUUUAUUCCAUCAAAUGCAGCUGUGAUAUAUAUACCCAUCUCUCUCUCUCUCUCUCUCUCUCUCUCAACAUAUAUAAAAUAAUAUGUAAUUCAUAUGUUCAUAUUUAAAGAAUAGUUAGGACCGGCAGGAAGAGGUAAUUUUUUAUUUAAUUAUUGAAUUAGACUUAAAUUUUACAUGUUAAAAAAUUAAUCUAAGAUGAAAUUAUCUCGCUUAAAUUCUCCAAAUGCCACUCUAAAAAAAUUAUUCUACCAGUGUUAAUUCAACGGUAAAAGAUUUUACCAAAUCUAUUUUAACAAAUCUAUUUUGGGCUCCCCAUUUUUGUCAUUCAGAAAAUGGAAUAGUCAUUUUAACUUUGUUUUUGAUUCUUGACUUUGUUUUUGAUUUACUAAUUCUUCAUUUGUUAACCAAAUGAUUUAUUUUUAUUUUGUUCAGAGUGGCUUCCGAUUUGGUUCUGUGUUGUGAUUUACUUCUUUGAUUGUAUUAAUUAUUUAUUAUUAAAAUAAUAUUUUUUAUUUUUUAAAAAUUAUUUUUAACAUAACAUAUCAAAAUAAUUUGAAAACAUCAAAAAUAUAUUAAUUUAAAAUAAAAAAAUAAAAAAAUUUCAAAAAAUUUUUAAAAUGCUUGCUAGACUUUAAAGUUAAUCUAAAUAAAAUAAAAUAAAAUAAAAGUCAAGCCAUACAUACAAUGAUGCUUAUAUGUGUAUUUUUUUUUUUUAAUGAUCCCAAUACAUAUUUGAAGAAUAAAAAAAUUAGUUCAAAAUUAAAAAAAAAAUUAAAAUCUUUUAAAAAUACAACUAAACUAUGGCACCUAGCACCAGGUACCAUGGGCCAGCGCGCCCAUGGCCAGGCAAGGAGCUCCCCUGAAAAGCAACAUGUAGAAUUUAGGCGUAAUAGAGUGUCUGUAGACACUACUACUUAGGUACUAGCUAUCACGCACUUUAAUAAGUUCAAUUAUUAGUAUUUUUAGCUGAAAUAUUGCACAAAAGCUGGAAAAAGUCCAAUUAAGUGGCUGUUUGGUAUAAUUAUAAUAUAUUAUUUUAGUAUAUAUUAUUAAGACAGCUAUAUUUUAGUAUAUAUUAUUAUAGUAUAAUUAUAAUAUAUAAGUUAUAUUAUUAUAAUUAGCAUUAUAAUAUAUAAGUAUCUCACGACUUUUAGAGUAUUACUUAAUUAAUAUUGAAAAUUUAUAUUUUUAAGAAAUUCAACAUAAUAUACUCAAUGGCUAGAAGCUUGGUGGCCAAUUUCAGAUCAUGAGUUUUCGUUUAUUGUCGAGGAUGAUUUGGAGGUUUCGCCGCUGUUUUAUAAAUUUGCGAGGGGUUUGCUUGCUAUUACAAUGUGUCGAAUUUUAGUCCUUUUAUAUAUGAUAUGGUGCUUCACUUCAGCGUCCACGGUUUGUCCCAGGUACUGCUCUUUUUUCAGGUUUUGUAUUUGUUAGACUGGAUGUUUUCAUGUUCAGUGUUAAGGUUUACAGAUUUCUUGAUUUGUUAAUUAUAUUGGGUUUUGUGCGGAUGUAGUGUGCUUCUCAUGCUAAAACUUGCUUUACAAUUGCUAGGCUGAAAUCCUUUUAGUCUUUUGCUUGUGGCGUAAAUAUAUGUAUCAUGUCCAUAGGAUGCGAAAUCCUUUUAGUCUUUUGCUUGUGGCGUAAAUAUAUGUAUGGUGUCCAUAGGAUGCGAACUUGAAAAGUUUCCAUUUGGUAUUUCGCAAUUGCAUAAGCAUAUGUGAUUAUGACACGUACGUCAAAAACAAUAUGCAUUAAUUUUGUUGCUGGUAGAGAGUGCCAUAUGCAAUAUUUUCUGUCUCUUAUUGGAGCCUUUUUAUGAAAAUUGUGUUAAUUCAACAAUUCUCAUUACAUACCCCUGACCUGAUUUUUUUUAAAAAGAAUUCUUUUACCUUUUUGAGAGUGAUUUUGGUUUAUCUGGUCGCUGAUUGCAGGUAAACAUGGAAACAAAAUACAAUUGGAUAGUGAAACGCAUCUUUUCUUGUACCCAUUGGUUGGUACUUGGCGUCAGAUUCUCUUUCCAAAACCUUGGAAAGAGUUUAGGUUGUGGUACGAUCUGUCACGUUCACACUAGAAGAAAAGAGUUGGAUUAAUUCGAGGAAAUCCACAGCCUCCAAUACUUACUGAUUGCUACUGUUUUCAUGCCUUUCUCAUUAACAUGAAGGACUAAAAUACAACUGGAAAAUAAUAACUGACGAUGCACAUUUCUUGCUCAUUAACAUGAAGAAGAAAGGAAGGUGAUGCAGUCCAGACAAUAUGAAUCCUUUCCUCCAGAAAAUCUUGCUCCUUUCUUGUCCUUUUCACGCCCAUUUGCUCCCCUUCACAAACAAACCUCCCAUUUAAAGGAGCUCCAAUCACACAAACCAGCAAUCCUUCCAAAAAAUUUUCCAUGACCAGCACAUGCUACUGAUAUCAGAUAAACAUAAAAUGAAGAGAAGAAAUAGAGAAACAGAUGACAAGCAGGAAUUUCAGUAGAAUGCUAUAAUCAAUUUCAGGAAUUUCAGUAGAAUGCGAUAAUCUUUCAGUAGAAUUCUCCAGACCAAUCGUGUUAUUAAGUGAAGACCAUGAAUUCAAAACUAUGAUAUCAGAAUCAAGAUAGAUAGCAUAACGAUGAUCAUCAGGAACAACCCAACAAGAAAAAAAAAACAAGAGACAAGUUACCAAAACAUAGAUUCUAAACAUAAGAAAUGGCGCGAUUGAAUCACUACAUUACAUAGUAUAACGAUGAUCAUCAGGAAUAUAAAAUAAAAAUUCUUCUCAACUCGAGCGAAGAGGGUAUUAACUAAUACAUGGUUUCUAGUUCAAGAGCCAGCAUCAAAAUUACUAGAUUAUGAGAUUUAUUUUAAACACCUCAAUGUGAUAGUACAGUGUCCUAUAUGAGAUUCACACAGGAACCAGCAAGAUGUUGUGUCAUUCUAGUCAUACAUGUGAUUGACAUUCCAGAAGGGGGAGAUAUUUUCAAGAAGCGAGCUAAUUACUUGUAGAGAGCAGCAAGGUGAACCGGUUCAAUAUAGUGAACAUAUGUCUUUCACCGCUGAAACCAAACUGGAGUGAAAAUAUGGGUUUUCUCCAUAGCCUUAUCACCUCUAGUCAACCACGGGUCUCGCAGCAAAGGAUACGGGUUCAAGAAAACAAAUUCACUAUUUAUCAAGCCAAUCACCCCACCCUUCUCUUAAAGAUUACAACUUUUUACUUAUCUUUAACAACAAAGCAUCUUCAAUAAUCUUAACUCACUAAGUUUUCUGUUAAUUUCCUCAUCAACAAGAAUAUCAUCACUGCCAAACACGGUCGUACUUUUAUAAUCCUCAACUAAAACCAUUGUAAUAAAAUAAAACAUCGUAAUAUCUUAUCAAUUUCUUAUUCAAAUACCUUAUAAUAGACCUGGUUACAUGAUCCAUGUAAUACCAAGAAUCGAGGGACUUUUCGUUUCUUCUUCUUCGGUGUUUUUUUUUACUUUCAUUUUCGUGAUCUUCUUCUUCUUCUUCUCUAAUGGUGUCUUCUUCAUUGAUAUUGUCGACGCCGAGACUUAGCUUGGGUUUUGAAUGAGGGACAGUGUUGUGUCGAUACCAAGAGUGUUUUUUUAUUGUCGUUUAGAAUUUUUAAAUUAAUUUUCUUUUAAAAAAAGGCAAUUAAAUUACGUGUUUUUAUGAUUUUAAUAUAUUAAUAUGAAAAAUAAAAAAAUCUAAAAGACAUUAUUAUUUAAUAUAUUUUAAAUAAAAAAAACUUUAUACAUCCCUUGUAGACUUAGGUAAAAAAUUAUUUUUUUAAAAAAUAAAUAAUUUAAUAAAAUAAUUGUUUUAAAAAAAUAAUUAAACUUUUAAACUCUGAUCCGAUGAAGUUAAGUUUAAAAAAUUCUGGUUAAAACUGGUUCAAAGCCUUCAUUGAGCCCAAUGUAAAGAGGCCCAACCUGCCGUCAUAAAAGCCCAAUAUUCUCUUCUCCGCCACCACUAUGCCAUGCCUUUUAUAUAAGCAAACGAAUAUGUACGAAGAAGAGCUUAGGCCUACAAAAGGGGAAAAGGGAGAAAAGUUGAUACUGCUUUUUCUUCUAAAUAGACACCGGAUGACUAUUGCACCCUUGUAAUGGUAUCUGAUUCAGCGAAAAGGAGGGUAUUAUGGUAAUUGGAACAACUUAAAUCGAGAAUCUGAACCGUUGUAUUCCUCUGCAAAGAUGCACAUGCUGUUAACCAAUGAUAAAUUAAUGUAUAGCUGUUACAGUUUGUUAUUUAUUAGGACUCCAUUACUGCAACAACUGUUACAAUAUGUUAUUCAUUAGGACUCCAUUACGGUUACAGUUACAGUUUGUUAUUCUUCCUGCAACGUAGAGAAUUCAGUUAGGUUCUGUAUCUAUAUAUAUAUAUGUCUUCUAUUAAUAAUAUAUGUAAGCAAUUCUCUUCCAAAAGCUUCAGCUCUAUCAUGGUAUUAGAGCGUCUCUGAUCCUUUAUUUAUUUUUUUCUCUUUCUCUUCCUACUCUUUUUCGGUUCUGUUUCUCCCUCAUUAACAUCACCAUGUCAACUUCCAUUCCAUCAAAUACGGAAAACCACCUUAUCACCAUAAACACAGCUGCUCAAGCUCCUCUUAAACUCACCUCUUCCAACUAUGCUUCCUGGAAAAUUCAAUUUGAAACACUCUUUAUUGGCUACGAUCUCCUUGGUUACAUCGAUGGGUCCAAGCCGUGUCCCUCACUAACUCUUAUAACAGAUGAUAUCAUUGUUCCCAAUCUUGCCUAUAGUCUCUGGGUGAGGCAAGAUCAACUUCUAUUGAAUGCUAUUGUUGGCAGCCUUUCUCCUCCGCUUAUCUUCUUUGUCGUCCGCACCAUUUCUUCUCAUGAUGCAUGGCAUGUUCUUGCCACAACAUAUGCCAAACCAUCCCGUGGACGUAUCCGCCAGGUGAAAAACCAGUUAAAGAAUCUCACAAAAGGCUCUAUGAGUAUCACAGAUUUUGUCUACUUCAUUAAAGCAAAAUCUGACGAACUUGCUGUUCUUGGUGCUCCUAUGGACACUGAUGAUCUUACUAAACAAAUCCUCGAUGGUUUAGAUGAAGAUUACACAGAACUUGUUCAGGUUGUCCAAGCUCGCGAAGCUGCUAUCUCCUUUGAUGAACUACAUGAGAAACUUCUCUUAUUUGAAGCAUCACUUCAAACACGGUCACAAUCCUCUCGUCUUGGUCCUAUUACUGCCAACUCUUUCACCAAGAACUCAAGCAACAACAAUUGGCGACCCUCAAGAACCAACUGGCGCCCAUUCUUUUCUCCUAUUGGGAACACUUUUCGUUCCCUACCUAUUGCCAACUUUCGACCUGCUACUUUUCCCAAUCAGGUUCGCAAUAAUCAUCUGCCUGCACGUCCUUAUUUGGGCCAUUGCCAGAUGUGUGGCACUCAGGGGCACACUGCUAAACGAUGUCCUUCUUUUCAUUUAGUUCAUGUUCAUGGUUCUAACAUUGCCAACUCCUCCAAUGGUAUGCCAUCCUCCUGGAAUCCCCAAGCCAAUUUUUCUUCUUCAUCUCUAUCCACCGCUGCGUCAUGGUUACUAGAUAGUGGUACUUCCCAUCACGUUACUGCCGACCUCAAUAAUCUUUCUCUCCAUACACCAUAUAAUGGACAAGAUGAUGUUAUGCUAGGCGAUGGUACCAAUCUUCCUAUAAGUCACACUGGUUCAGUAUCUCUUCCCACAUCUAACUCUUUUUUCCAAUUACAAGAUGUUUUGUGUGUUCCCAAAAUGCAAAAAAAAUUAAUAUAUAUUGCAUUAUUCUGUAUCACUAACAAUGUGUCAAUUGAAAUUUUUCCUCAUUGUUUUCAUGUGAAGGACCUACAAACGAGGGACAUUCUUCUGCAGGGCGGCACUAAGGAUGGUAUUUAUGAAUGGCUAGUUGCCAUCUCUUCCACUCCUCCCAUUCUAGCUUUCUCUGUUGUCAACAAUGUCCAUUUGGCACCGGCGCUUUGGUCAUCCAGCCUUCACAAUUCUUAAACAUAUUAUGUCCUCCUAUCAUUUAAAUUUUUCUUCUCAAAAGAAUUUCUGCUGCAAUGCUUGCUUAAGUAAUAAAAGUCAUAAACAACCAUUUUCUGUGUCUAUUUUGCUCACUACUCGUCCUCUUCAAGUUGUAUUUUCUGAUGUUUGGACUUCUCCUAUUAUUUCACACGAUGGUUAUAAAUACUAUGUUAUCUUUAUUGAUCAUUUUACAAAAUACAUUUGGUUAUAUCCAUUAAAACAAAAAUCUGAUGUCCAAAUAGUGUUUCGACGCUACAAAGCAAUUGUUGAAAAAUAUUUUCAACAAACCAUUAUUUCUCUUUAUUCUGAUAAUGGUGGUGAAUACAUUGCUCUCAAACCAUUUCUUUCAGAACAUGGGAUUAGUCAUCUCACGUCUCCACCACAUACACCUGAACAUAAUGGUUAUUCUGAACGGCGACAUCUUCACAUUGUCGAAACUGGUCUUGCCCUUUUUUCUCAUGCCUCAAUUCCCACUACCUUUUGGACUUAUGCCUUCACCACUGCUGUUUACCUAAUUAACAGGAUGCCAACUCCCACAUUAAACAUGUCUUCACCAUAUGAGUCAAUUUUUCACAAGAGUCCUAAUUUUUCUAAACUUAAAGUGUUUGGCUGUUUAUGUUAUCCUUGGUUGGGUCCAUAUGCAUCUCAUAAACUUGAUUUGAAAUCUCAACCCUGCGAUUUUCUUGGAUACUCCCUUUCUUAGAGUGCAUAUCUAUGCCCUAACAAAUCCACUAACAAACUACAUGUUUCACGGCAUGUACAAUUUGUUGAGUCAGUUUUUCCUUAUAAGUCUUAUCCUACUGCAACUUCAAAUUUUCCUUCCCCCGUGUCUGACUGGAUGCCUUCACCUAUUUUUGUCUCAUCUCAAACCCCACAACAACUGGCUCUUUCUGCUCCUUCCUCACAAUGUCAUGCAGAUGCAUCUCCUUCUAUGGUCUCUUCAUCAAGUCCUCCAACUCAUGCCGAAGCAAUUCCUUCCAUCAUUUCUACUCCACAGGUACCUACUUCCCCCUCUCAUCAUAAUCCUUCACUUCCAGCUCCAUCUCUACCUGUUCCACCACCACCACAACAUUCCCAACACCCUAUGAUCACUCGGUCCCGGAAUAAUAUCCACAAACCAAUCCAGAAACUCAGUCUUCACACUACUAAACCAGUCAUCUUUCAAACAGAACCUUCCACCUCCUCUCAGGCACUUAAAGAUCCAAACUGGCGAUCUGCUAUGUCUGAGGAAUAUGAUGCUCUAGUAUGCAAUGACACAUUGGAACUUGUUCCUCCUAAUGGUAUCACUAACGUUGUUGGUUGCAGGUGGGUUUACCGCAUUAAAAGACAUUCUGAUGGUUCUAUAAACAGGUUUAAAGCACGACUUGUUGCAAAAGGUUUCCACCAGCGUCUCGGUGUGGACUAUCAUGAGACUUUCAGCCUCGUUGUGAAGCCAACAACUAUCCGCUUGGUACUCAGCCUUGCUGUCAGCCGCGGAUGGUCACUUAAACAACUGGAUAUCAACAAUGUUAUCGCACGUGUGCAGCGUCACGACGAUCAUCCACCCUCAAUUGUAUGGAUAUAUAUCUAGUAAAUACGGGGAGACACGAAAUUCUUUGUCUCUUAGCAGUAAAAAAAAUGGAAUGGAGUCGCCACCUAGUAUUAUGGUCACUAGGAACCCUAAUUGGUCUCAGAGAUCGGGUACGGAGACUGGUUGCGUAAAGGGAAGGUAUUAGCACCCCAAAUACGCCCUACCUAAGGUAAGCUGCAUUGUUUUAUUUGUCUGAUCAAAAUCUAAGGUUUGGUCGUGUUUUCUAAUUGUUGGUCUUGUCUAUCUAAGAUUCAAGAAAAGCCCUCCUCAAUAAGAAGGUUCUUAUCUUAAUGGGGUAGAACCUAACCGUUCUAACGUUGGAAAAAGAUUUAAUAUCCGGAAUACGUAUUACGUGUCAUAUCGUACCCUGGAUACUAAAAGACAAACAAAAUAAAAUUUUUUAUUGUUUUUGAAAUUUUGGCUAAUGUUCUCUUGACUUUAAUAAACUGGUUAUUAAAGCCAAAAUGCAUGUUAAAACAUUAUUUUUUUGUUUAUAAAAAACACAAUAUGAUUUUUUAGCUUUGAGACACUUGGCCGUAUGCACAAAAAUAUUUUUUCUUUUUUUCAAAGUUUUUUGUAUUUUUGAAAGUUUUGACGAAAACCGGGUAUUUUAAUAUCAAAUUUUGUAUUUUUAGCAACAUAAAAAUACUGCUUGAUAUUAAUCAAAAUGACAAAAAAAUACGCAGGAAACUUGUAAAAUUACAAACAAAUAUUUUUGAAUUUUUCUUUUAACAAAAAAAGAAAAAAAAUUGGGUCGGAUCUGGCCCAUCCAUCCUGGGCUGGGCCUGACCCGGCCCAUAUACUGUGGGCUGGGCUGAUGUGCCAGCCCAUAACAAAUAAAAGGACUGGUUACUGUGCUGCGCACAGUAACCAGCAAAAAUAUAAUUAGCUAGUUAAUCUUCAUUUUGCUGCAGAACGUAAACGUUCUGUAAAAUGAAGCUGAAGCACAAAACGAUGGGGGAGGGGAGAAAGUUACCUGGAGCGGUGGCGACGCUGGCGGCAGCGGAUGCGACAGGGGUGGUGGUGUAGGCGGCGACUGUUCUCCUUCCUUCUCUCCCGUCUCCUCUGUUUCUCUUCUCAGCCACCCUCUCCUCUGCCUUUUUUUGUUUUCUAACUUUGGACACAAAAGAAAAAAAUUAUAUCGGAGCCCAAUCAUUGCUCCACCAUGCACACAUGCUUAACCACCUAAAAGAGAACGGUGCGACGCUUCCAACACUAUAAUGGAAAGCGGUGCUUGGCCAUCGAGAGAUGCCACAUGUGUCAUUCAAGGAGCAUUGAUACCUCCCACUCUCUGACACGUAUUGCACGUGUCAACCAGUUUUUAUUUUUAUAUAUAUGUUAAAAGACUAAAUUUUUUCUCAUUUACAUUGAUUAUAACUAAAAAGCCAUAAUGAAAAUAUAAAAACACACCUGGACACAAGUUUUAAUUUUUUUUCCUUUUAAAAGCAAUGUAGUCAUUUAACUAUGCUAGCAAAACGUAAAAAGAAAUAACCCCUUGGACCUUAAUUGUAAAAAAAAAAAUUUAAGACUGUUUAAGUAAUUUUACUGUGCAUUUGAAAUGGUAAAAGAUCUAUUGUCCCUAAUUAAUACGAGAAUGACAAAUGAACCAUGUAAAAAAGACUAAAUUACCCCUAACAGCUAGUUAAAUGACUUUUUUAGAAGGGCAAAAUAGUCAUUAUAUUUUUUUAUUCCACAACGAUGAGUUUAGGGAUACAGUGAAACGUUGAUGGCUUUUUAUUUUUUAUAUUUACUAGAACAAUUUUUAAGGAUAUUAUAGUUAAUUUUUAAGGAUAUUUUAUAUAUUCAUAAAUUAAAUGUUAAUGAAAAUUAAGAAAAGAAAAGAAUUAAAUUAUCAAUAAUGAUUGAUGAGAAACAAAAUUAAUGUAAUGUAUAUUUUGAAUAAUAAAUUGAGAUGAAGAUAUAAAAUAUUUUUUUUCUAGAAUAAUUUUGAUUCUUUUAAAGUGCAUUUAUAUAUAUAUAUAUAUAUAUAUAUAUAUAUAUAUAUAUAUAUAUAUAUAUAUAUAUGCAGUCUCUCUAUUUUCAUUAUCUGUAUUUUUUAUAUUUCAAGACAAGAAUCAAAUGCUACAUACAAAUAUUAUACAUUAUAGAAAGAAGUAUAAUUUUAUUCUCUCUAAUUCUCAGUCCACCCUUUUCAAGAUUUAAAAUUAAAAUCUCCUCAUAAAAAACCUAAAUCUUAACAGUUAGAUUGUGGAUUUAGUAAUUAAUAUUAAAUUCUGUCCUUGUUGUUUUGUAAUUUAAUGCUAAGUUGCUAACUAUACUCUUAUAAAUUCUCGUACACAUUCAAGAAAAAAACAAAACCCUAAAGUAAACCAUUAGUGAGGUUGGAUUCCUUCCUUUUAUUUAUAAUCGUUUAAAACCAAACCCUUCUCUUUCUUCCUUCCAUCGAAAUAUCAACUUCGUUUAGAAUUUGAUUGCUUGUCGUUUUCAUUGUGCGGCAUUCCAAAAUUACUGAUUCGAAACCACAUCUUCAACAAAAAUAAUCAUCCACAUGCUUCAUCUGUGGAUGACAAAUUCUAGGAAUCUCAGCUAAUUGUGAGAACUGCUGCGACAAACCUAUGAAAGAUGUCAGGGAAGGAUUAAGAAAGCUAGCUAUUUCAACGAAAAAACUAUUUACUAGGGCUAAAAAACGAAAGAAAGCCUGCUUUUUUGUUCUUAGAGGGAAGGGCAAGGGCCAAGGUUGAUUGGACUUGAUAUAAAGAUGAUGUCUAAUAAAAAUGCCAUUGAUGGCCCUUUUUGCAGGCUGUGAUUCAAGGGCCGCGAUCAUUUUUGGAUGCUGAUUUUGUUUUUAGUAAAAAAUUAAAAUCUAAUAAUUCUAAAACUUGGAAAAAAAUUUCUAAGGUUUUAAAAAAAUUCUCAUCGAUAAAUUUUUUUUAUUAAAAACUAAUUAUUGUAAAAGCUGAAACAGAGAGAAGAGCAGCUGCUGGGAACCCAAAAAGGAUGAUUUUGUUUUCUAACUUUGGACCCGAAAAUCCCCCCUGUUUCUGCUUCUUUGUAAACCUCCCCUGUCUCUUUUCUCAAAUUUGUUCCUCCCUUCUCUAUUUUUUUUUCUUCUUCAAGUUUGUUUCUCAAAAGUUUUGCCCCCUCUGGUUUCUCUCUCUUUUUUGUUUUUGCAGCUUGCCUGUCUUCCCCUGCUCUUUCCCUUUUUUUUUCUCCAAAGAAAAUUGUUGGUCUCUCUCUCGGUCUCCCUCACUUUCUCUUUAAAAAAAUCCUUCCAGCUCUCCCUUCUUGAUCUCCCCCCCUAUUCUCCUGCACUCCCUCUGUAUUUAUAGGCAGAGGGAGAGAGGGCCACCAUGCCCUAUCCUGCCAUUAUGCAGGGCAUGGCAUGGUGGCAUAGGGGUGGCUACUCCACAGCCGCCCCUACCUCUGUAGGGCAUGGGUCUUUUGGUGUGAAGGCGUGGUGGUGUCAGUGAAGGGACAAGUCAGGUCGUAGUUGGUUUUUUGGUUUUUGGGAGAGAGAAAGGAGAGAAAAAAAUAGGGGGAAAAAUGCUUCUUCUUCCCCUGUUCUCUGCGCGUCCAGGGGAAGAAGCAGGCUUAUGGUGCCGUUCAAAACGGCACCGUUUGCUCUUUCUCUCUCUUUUUUUUCCAGUGAAAUGCAUGAAACGACGCCGUUUUGACCAAAACGCGUCAUUUCAUUUAAACGAAAACUGGCGCCAAAAUGGGUCAAUUUGCGCGCUUUUUCACUAUGGUCCUUGGUUUUGGAUUUCUUCAAUCGAGUCCCUAAUUGGCCACCAGACUUCAAUAUGUAUGCAAUUAAGCCCCUGAUUUGACCAAAUCAACUCUUAAAAAUUAUAAUUUGACCCCAGAACUUUAAUUUCUUCCAAUUAAAACCCAAAUUGACUUAAAAAUCAAUUUUUCUUGCGAUCAAACCCUCCAUAAAUUCAAUUAAACUUUCAAUAAAAUUUAAUUGAGCCCAUAUACAUCUGAUUUUGUACAUUUCUUCCUCAAAUAAAAUUUUCUUUAUCAAUAGGGCUCUCACCGGUCAACGAUAUACUGUCAAAUUUCAAUCCUUGUAUUUUUUGAUCCUCCUCAACCAAUUUUUGACCAUUUUCGGGGCGCUCUAGCAUCCUCUUUUCACUGCUAUUAUUUUUUUAUUUUUUUUAUUUUGUGCGGGGACCAAAAAAUGGGUUACAACAAAUGCUUUCCUUCAAGGUCAUCUUUCUGAAACCGUUUACAUGGCGCAACCUCCUGAAUUUGUUGAUCGCGAAAAACCGUCAUUUGUUUGCAAACUCCACAAAGCCAUUUAUGGACUCAAACAGGCGCCCCGGGCUUGGUAUCAUGAAUUGCGCACAUUUUUGUUGGCUUCUGGUUUCCGCAAUUCCCACUCUGAUCCUUCUCUGUUCAUAUUUAACAGUGCUCAGCAUGUUUUGUUUUUACUGGUUUACGUGGAUGACAUUAUUGUCACAGGCAGCGAUGACGACAUUCUAUCAGAUUUUGUUUCUAGCCUUGCCAAACGUUUUUCUCUUAAGGAUCUUGGCAAUUUGUCCUACUUCUUGGGUGUUGAAGUUCUUCCUCACAAACAGGGUAUUCUACUCUCUCAACGCAGGUACAUUACUGACCUGCUAACUCGUCUCAACAUGCUGGACGCAAAACCAGUGCUCACUCCAAUUCCAAGCUCUGCAUCUGCUAUUUCAUUGCUGUCUGACUCGCCUUUAUAGAAUCCCACUGUUUAUCGUGAAGUUGUAGGGAGUCUUCAGUAUCUUUCUCUUACAAGACCAGAUGUGUCAUUUGUUGUGAACAAACUAUCUCAGUUCAUGCACAGCCCAACCGAUGACCACUAGAUCCUUGUUAAGCGAAUUAUGUGAUAUCUUAUUGGUACACUAAACAAGGGCCUUCUUCUGCACCGUGACUCGCCCUACAAUCUUCAUGCCUUCGCUGAUCAACUUCAUGCCUUUUCAGAUGCCGAUUGGGCUGGCAAUAAAGAUGAUUAUUCAUCCACCAGUGCUUAUCUAGUUUACCUUUGGAGUAAUUUAAUUUCAUGGAGUUCAAAUAAACAAAAGACCAUUGCCAGGUCUUCAACAGAGGCUGAGUAUCGCUCCGUUGUUGCCACUGCUGCUGAGCUCUGUUGGGUACACUCUCUACUUCAUGAACUUGGUGUUGCUCUGUCUUCUUCACCUGUGAUAUACUGUGACAACAUUGGAGGAACUCAGUUAAGUUCCAAUCCUAUUUUUCAUUCUCGCAUUAAACAUGUUGUCGUUGACUACCAUUUCGUCCUAUUUUCAGGGAUAAUAUAAAAAAUUUCAUUAAAUUUAAAAAAAUGAUGAAAUCUCGUAUCUUCAGGAUUCACGUCAAAGUUUUUGUUAAAAUUCAAGAAAUUGUGAAAUAUAUUAUCUUUAAGGAUUAAUGUAAAAAAAAUAAAAAGUUAAAAAACUAGUGAAAUCUCCUAUUUCAGAAAUUAAAGAUAACAAAAUUUUCGUUAAAAUUCUUUUAUAUAUUAAGGCCAGUGCCAUAAAAUGACAAGCUAUGAAAUCUUAGAUUUUUAGGGUUUAACGUUAUUUCGACAAGUUUUUUUAUUUUUAGAAACCGAUAUUUAUUUUUAAAUAAAUCAUAAAUAAAAUCAGAAUAUAAUAGCAUAAAAUAACUUAGAAAAACAAAAGUAAUGGUAAUUUUUUAUUUGAAAAGAUAUGAUAAGGGUGGUGUUAACCUGAUAAGGGUGGUGUUAAAAAGAGAGGCAACAACGGAGAAGAAGAAAUAAAAAAGACAUAAAAGCACAGUAUCUGCAACAAGAAGAAGGAAGGAGAAAACAGGAUCAGACAAUAGAUAAAAAUGAGAAGUCAACUUCUAUUAUCCCCGAAAAAGAUCUCAAUGAGAAGUCAACUUCAAUUUCAUUUUUCAACCUACAAGUUGUGCUGAUCUUCCUUUACCACAGUCCUACAAAAACUAAUAAAAAAAUGUUGAGACACUAAAAUACAAGCUUCACCUGCAACGCCAAACCCUAAGUAUAUAAACUAACUUCCAUUCACAAUCAGCCGCCUCCUUCCCUUCACCCUCUCUUUCUCUCUGCUCAUCCCAUCAUCAUUGCUUCUCUCUCUCUCUCUCUCUCUUUCCAAUCAGAACUAAACAGACGAUGGCUGAGGCACUUCUAUCUCCGAUCUUGGAGCAGUUAACCACAAUCGUUGCUCAACAGGUAUUUUUCUACCAUCUGCAAUAACCUGAUUUACCUAGCAGAGAUAAGAAAUAUAUAUAAAGUUCAAGCCUUUUUUCUUCCUAUCAUAAAAAGAAUACUUUUAACUUGAAUAAAUAAAAAUAAUAUUUUAAAUCCUCAAGUAUAUAUUUGGAUUUUAUUAAAGAAUCUUCUUUUUCUUGUUUUAUUAUUUUUCAUAUUUCCAAAAAUAACAUAAAGAAAAUAUAUCAUUCCAAAUAUAGGAAAACCGAAAAAGGCAAAACAAGAGAUGCCAAUUCUCUUUAAACUUAACUAUUAAGGGUAAAAUAAUCAAUAAAAAGUUCAAAGGAUUAGCGAGCGAGUAUUUGGUGUGAAUUAACACACAAUCUUAUUAUCAUGCCUUUAUUUCACAAAUUAUACAUACAGAUCCUUUAAUUAUUCACUUGCAUUUAUACAUCCAUAUAUCUAUAGUUUAAUGUAAAAUGAAAACCAGAUUUUAUGUCGGUUCAAAGGAGAAAUCCUUCUCUCGUGAGAACAAUGAACUCUUUCCAUACCUAUAUUAAUUAUAUAUAUAUACACGCACAGGUUUAACGUUUUACCAUUUAAGAUUCAUUUUAUACCUUCUUGUACAGUAGCGUAGUGCAGACUGAUAUCAUCAUCAUGAUGAUAAAAAGAAAAAACAAAUAUUAUUAUUUCUAAUAAAUAUUUUAUAUAUAAAUUAUUAAUAUAGUAAAUCCAUUUCACAAUAAAAUAUAUUAAUACAAAAUAGAAAUGUUUCCUAUGCUUGAACUUGUAUUUUCUACACUAAUAGGUACAGGAAGAGGUGAACCUAGUAGGGGGUGUGAAAUUGUCAUAGAAAUGUUUCCUAUGCUUAACGUUUCUUUUCCUUUGUACACUAAUAGGUACAAGAAGAGGUGAACCUAGUAGUGGGUGUGAAGAAACAAUGUGACAAGCUGAAAAGCAAUCUCCUUGAUAUCCAAUCUGUCCUUGAAGAUGCAGAUAGAAAACAAGUGAAAGAUAAGGCUGUAAGAGAUUGGCUAGACAAGCUCAAAGAUGCAUGUUAUGAUAUGGAUGACGUGCUAGAUGAAUGGAGAACUGCAAUUCUUAGAUGGAAAAUGGAGGAAGCUGAAGAAAAUACUCACAGCCGACAGAAGAUACGGUGUUCCUUCCUGGGAUCUCCUUGCUUUUGUUUCAAUCAAGUGGUUCGACGUCGCGACAUUGCCCUGAAGAUCAAAGAAGUUCGUAAAAAAGUGGAUGACAUUGCCAAAGAGAGAGCUAAGUAUGGCUUCGAUCUGUACAAAACCACUGAUGAACUCCAGCGACUAACAACUACCUCCUUUGUUGAUGAAUCAAGCGUGAUUGGUCGAGAUGGUGAAAAGAGAAAUGUUGUAAGCAAGUUGCUGGCUGAAAGUAGUCAAGAAGCACGGGACGUGGAUGUCAUCUCUCUAGUAGGGCUGGGAGGAAUUGGAAAAACAACUCUCGCCCAACUAGCUUUUAAUGAUGCUGAGGUUACGGCUCAUUUUGAGAAAAAGAUAUGGGUGUGUGUUUCCGAACCAUUUGAUGAGGUUAAGAUAGCCAAAGCUAUCCUUGAGGAGCUUGAAGGGAGGGCAUCCGAUUUGGUAGGAUUGCAAUCCCUUUUGCGAAGGGUUUCUGAAUCCAUUGAGGGAAAGAGGUUCCUUCUUGUCCUUGAUGAUGUAUGGACAGAAAAUCACGGACAAUGGGAACAACUGAAACCAUCUCUCACAGGCUGUGCACGAGGAAGCAGAAUUCUAGUGACCACUCGUAAGGACGCUGUGGCAACGAUGAUGGGAAGUACUGGCCACCGGAUCAACAUUAAGGAAUUGUCCGACGAGAUAUGCAGGUCAAUAUUCAAUCAUGUGGCAUUCCAGGAAAGAAGCGAAGAUGAGCGCGAAAGAUUGACAGAUAUCGGCGAUAAAAUUGCAAACAAGUGCAAGGGCUUGCCUCUAGCUGCCAAGGUAUUAGGAGGUCUAAUGCAGUCUAAAAGAACAAGAGAAGAGUGGGAUCGUGUUUUAUCUAGCGAACUGUGGAGGCUAGAUGAGGUUGAUAGAGAUCAAGUUGAACGACGAAUAUUUAUACCUUUGCUCUUGAGUUACUACGAUUUACCUUCUGUGGUAAGACGAUGUUUCUUGUAUUGUGCCAUGUUUCCAAAAGACUACGAGAUGGACAAAGAUGAAUUGGUGAAGAUGUGGAUGGCUCAGGGUUACCUCAAGGAGACUUCAGGUGGAGAUAUGGAGCUUGUAGGAGAGCAGUACUUUCAAGUCUUAGCAGCGCGCUCUUUCUUCCAAGAUUUUGAGACGGAUGAGGAUGAAGGAAUGACAUUCAAGAUGCAUGAUAUAGUGCAUGAUUUUGCCCAAUAUAUGACAAAAAAUGAAUGUCUAACAGUGGAUGUCAAUACACUUGGAGGAGCAACAGUGGAGACUUCAAUUGAAAGGGUUCGUCAUUUAAGCAUGAUGCUGCCCAACGAGACCUCUUUUCCCGUGUCCAUUCACAAAGCAAAAGGUCUUCGCAGCCUCUUGAUCGACACUAGAGACCCUUCGCUUGGAGCUGCACUGCCUGAUUUGUUCAAGCAGUUGACAUGCAUCAGGUCAUUGAAUUUGUCAAGGUCUCAAAUCAAAGAAAUACCAAACGAGGUAGGGAAAUUGAUACAUUUGAGACACCUCAAUUUGGCAUGGUGUGUAGAGUUGGAGUCCCUGCCAGAAACCAUUUGUGAUUUAUGCAAUCUGCAAUCCCUAGACGUUACUUGGUGCCGGUCUCUCAAGGAAUUGCCCAAGGCGAUUGGAAAACUUAUCAAAUUGAGGCAUCUCUGGAUUGAUAGUUCAGGAGUGGCCUUCAUACCAAAGGGAAUAGAGAGGAUAACAUGUCUUCGAACAUUAGAUAAGUUUACUGUGUGUGGUGGUGGUGAGAAUGAAAGUAAAGCAGCUAAUCUAAGAGAAUUAAAAAACUUAAAUCACAUUGGAGGGAGUCUCAGAAUAGACAAAGUAAGAGAUAUAGAAAAUGUGAGAGACGUCGUGGAUGCACUACUCAAUAAGAAGCGCCUACUUUGCUUGGAAUGGAAUUUCAAGGGAGUGGAUUCCAUCUUGGUGAAAACAGAGUUGCCAGAGCAUGAAGGCUCUUUAAUUGAAGUUUUACGGCCUCCGUCAGACUUGGAAAAUCUAACCAUACGGGGUUACGGAGGGUUGGAUUUGCCAAAUUGGAUGAUGACAUUAACCAGAUUACGGAUGCUUUCACUUGGUCCUUGUGAAAACGUGGAGGUCUUGCCUCCGUUGGGAAGAUUGCCCA